This 504-nucleotide ribosomal RNA is filed under the name uncultured bacterium. RNAcentral describes it as "partial 16S ribosomal RNA". It matches the Rfam family "Bacterial small subunit ribosomal RNA", at positions 28 to 523 of the family's 1533-position model. The record is from RNAcentral.
GAUAAACGCUAGCGGCAGGCUUAACACAUGCAAGUCGAGGGGCAGCAUAGAUUGUAGCAAUACAAUUGGUGGCGACCGGCGCACGGGUGCGUAGCGCGUAUGCAACCUACCCGUCACAGGGGGAUAAUCCGGAGAAAUCUGGUCCAAUACCCCAUAACAUAUGGAUCGGCAUCGGUUCAUGUUGAAAUUUUCGGAGGUGACGGAUGGGCAUGCGUAGCAUUAGAUUGUUGGUGAGGUAACGGCUCACCAAGGCGACGAUGCUUAGGGGGACUGAGAGGUUUUCCCCCCACACUGGUACUGAGACACGGACCAGACUCCUACGGGAGGCAGCAGUGAGGAAUAUUGGUCAAUGGGCGCAAGCCUGAACCAGCCAUGCCGCGUGCAGGAUGACGGCUCUAUGAGUUGUAAACUGCUUUUGUACGAGGGUAAAGUGGGUUACGUGUAACCUUUUGAAAGUAUCGUACGAAUAAGGAUCGGCUAACUCCGUGCCAGCCGCCGCAGUAA